UACGGGGGGGGCAAGCGUUGUUCGGAAUUACUGGGCGUAAAGGGCUCGUAGGCGGCCAACUAAGUCGGAUGUGAAAUCCCCAGGCUUAACCUGGGAACUGCAUCCGAUACUGGAUGGCUUGAAUCCGGGAGAGGGAUGCAGAAUUCCAGGUGUAGCGGUGAAAUGCGCAGAUAUCAGGAGGAACACCGGUGGCGAAGGCGGGUCUCUGGGCCGAUACUGACGCUGAGGAGCGAAAGCGUGGGGAGCAAACAGG
Molecule: ribosomal RNA, 253 nt
Filed under: uncultured bacterium
Lineage: Bacteria
Description: partial 16S ribosomal RNA
Rfam family: Bacterial small subunit ribosomal RNA
Source: RNAcentral